GAAAUGCGAUAAGUAAUGUGAAUUGCAGAAUUCAGUGAAUCAUCGAAUCUUUGAACGCACAUUGCGCCCGCCAGUAUUCUGGGGGGCAUGCCUGUCCGAGCGUCAUUUCAACCAUCAAGCCCCCGGGCUUGUGUUGGGGACCUGCGGCUGCCCGCAGGCCCUGAAAACCAGUGGCGGGCUCGCUGUCACACCGAGCGUAGUAGCAAUCACCUCGCUCAGGGCGUGCUGCGGGUUCCGGCCGUUAAACAGCCUUACAAAACCCAAGGUUGACCUCGGAUCAGGUAGGAAGACCCGCUGAACUUAAGC
Molecule: unclassified non-coding RNA, 306 nt
Filed under: plant metagenome
Description: partial contains 5.8S ribosomal RNA, internal transcribed spacer 2, and large subunit ribosomal RNA
Rfam family: 5.8S ribosomal RNA (bases 1-105)
Source: RNAcentral